GUCUUUGUAGUAUAUCAAAUACACUGGCCUUGUAAACCAGAAAAGGAGAACAAACCAACCUCCCUAAGACUU
RNAcentral lists this transfer RNA (72 nucleotides) under Procapra przewalskii (Przewalski's gazelle). RNAcentral's name for it is "tRNA-Thr". RNAcentral also lists the same sequence under 1 other name. Lineage: Eukaryota; Metazoa; Chordata; Mammalia; Artiodactyla; Bovidae. The record is from RNAcentral.